RNAcentral lists this ribosomal RNA (120 nucleotides) under Pseudomonas frederiksbergensis. Lineage: Bacteria; Pseudomonadati; Pseudomonadota; Gammaproteobacteria; Pseudomonadales; Pseudomonadaceae. The record is from RNAcentral.
UUCUUGACGAUCAUAGAGCAUUGGAACCACCUGAUCCCAUCCCGAACUCAGCAGUGAAACGAUGCAUCGCCGAUGGUAGUGUGGGGUUUCCCCAUGUGAGAGUAGGUCAUCGUCAAGAUU